Molecule: ribosomal RNA, 488 nt
Filed under: uncultured bacterium
Lineage: Bacteria
Description: partial 16S ribosomal RNA
Rfam family: Bacterial small subunit ribosomal RNA
Source: RNAcentral
GACGAACGCUGGCGGCGUGCUUAACACAUGCAAGUCGAACGGAAAGGCCCUGCUUUUGUGGGGUGCUCGAGUGGCGAACGGGUGAGUAACACGUGAGUAACCUGCCCUUGACUUUGGGAUAACUUCAGGAAACUGGGGCUAAUACCGGAUAGGAUCUCCUGCUGCAUGGUGGGGGUUGGAACGUUUCGGCGGUUGGGGAUGGACUGGCGGCUUAGGGGCUUGCUGGUGGGGUAGUGGCUUACCAAGGCUAUGAUCGGUAGCUGGCGUGAGAGGGUGACCGGGCACACUGGAAGUGGGGCACGGUCCAGACUCAUACGGGAGGCAGCAGUGGGGAAUAGUUGACAAUGGGCGGAAGCCGGAUCCAGCCAUACCGCGUGGGGGAAGAAGGCCUUCGGGUGGGAAAGGCCUUUUGUUGGGAAAGAAAAGCAGCAGGUUAAUACCCCGCUGUUCUGACGGUACCCAAAGAAUAAGCACCGGCUAACUUCGUG